RNAcentral lists this ribosomal RNA (1781 nucleotides) under uncultured Entamoeba. RNAcentral's name for it is "partial 18S ribosomal RNA". It matches the Rfam family "Eukaryotic small subunit ribosomal RNA". Lineage: Eukaryota; Evosea; Mastigamoebida; Endamoebidae. The record is from RNAcentral.
UGUUAAAGAUUAAGCCAUGCAUGUGUAAGUAUGAAGACCAAGUAGGAUGAAACUGCGGACGGCUCAUUAAAACUGUCAUAAUUUCUUUGGUUAAAAAUAUAAGGAUAACUCUGUUAAUUGUAGAGCUAAUACUUGAAACGUCGAAAGACAACCGCAAGGUUAUAAACAUAUCCCUUAUGAAUAAGGAUAUGAAGAGAAUUGAAGUAAGUAAACUUUCACAAGUAACCAAUGAGAAUGUCAGACCUAACAANCCAGAAGGUUUGGUAGUGGCAAACCUUAGUGACAACGGGUAACGAGAAAUAAGGGUUUUACAUCGGAGAGGGAGCAUGAGAAACGGCUACCACUUCCAAGGAAGGCAGCAGGCGCGAAAAUUACCCACUUCAGACUCUGAGAGGUAGUGACGACAAAUAACUAAAGUGUGCCACAAAAGUGGUACACUUUUAGGGAUGAACCGAACGUAAACAUGUCGGUGAACGCGAUUGGAGGGCAAGACUGGUGCCAGCAGCCGCGGUAAUUCCAGCUCCAAUAGUGUAUAUUAAAGUUGUUGUGAUUAAAAAGCUCGUAGUUGAUACAAACAGAAGAUGGUUCAAAACAGGUUCAGCUACGGUUGUCUCUGUUGCGGACUUGAUCUUCAAAGUGCAUACACAAUCGAAAGAUUAUGCAUGCGGUUUACUUUGAAUAAAGAAGAGUGCUUAAAGCAAAGCAAUAGCUAAUGCAAGAUAAAGCAUGGGAUAAUAAUGAGGGGAUCUCGAGAAAACCAUGACUAUAUGGCAGACAAGAGAUAACACAAAAAGGGAUAAGAGAAAGUGAUGACGUGGAUCAUACGGAAGCGGGAGAGGUGAAAAUCCAUGAUCGCUUCAGGAUGAACAAAAGCGAAAGCAUUCCACGAAGAACUGUUCAUUAAUCAAGAACUAAAGUUAGGGGAUCGAAGACGAUUAGAUACCGUCGUAGUCCUAACCAUAAACUAUGUCGACAAAGGAUUGGGAAGAAUCACACAGUGCGAGUCAGCUCCGGCUAAAAGCACUGGACACACUCUCGCCAGAACUUAAGGGAAACCAAGUUAAUGGACUUCAGGGGGAGUAUUGUCGCAAGACCGAAACUUAAAGGAAUUGACGGAAGGGCACACCAGGAGUGGAGCCUGCGGCUUAAUUUGACUCAACACGGGACAACUUACCAAGACCACACACAGCGAGGAAUGACAGACUAAGGGAACUUUCACGAUAAUGUGGGGAGUGGUGCAUGGCCGUUCAUAGUUCGUGGAGUGAUUUGUCAGGUUUAUUCCGAUAACGAACGAGACUUUGAUCUUUAAUUUACACAGUUGGAUUUAUUCAAUUGUGCUCCUUAAUGGAGUUAAUAAAAUAAAGAGACAGGCUCCAAUAUUCUGCUGCACACCUAGUUGUGUGUGGUGAGAACAAGGAGCAGGAAGAUGAGCAAUAACAGGUCUGUGAUGCCCUUAGACAUCUUGGGCUGCACGCGUGCUACAAUAGCAUUCAUAGAGAGUAUGAACCAGUAAUAGGUCACCCAAUUCGUUGGGUGGCAACUAGACUGACUACCCGAAUCUGAAAAGAGGAGGAAAACUCUAAAGGAAGCUUUAACAGGGACUAGUGAUUGGAAUUAUUCGAUACGAACGAGGAAUUCCUUGUAAAAUUGCGUCACUAUCGUAAGUUGAAUAAGUCCCUGCCCUUUGUACACACCGCCCGUCGCUCCUACCGAUUGAGUAAAAAGAUGAAGCUCUUGGAGAUUGCUAAAGUCAAAAGGAACUAAAUCUUUUUACUUAGAGG